UCCCUGGUGGUCUAGCGGCUAAGGAUCUGGCGCUCUCACUGCUGUGGCCCCGGUUUGAUUCCUGGGCAGGGAA
Non-coding RNA from Pangasianodon gigas (Mekong giant catfish), 73 nucleotides. The record is from the annotation of a GenBank genome assembly. Lineage: Eukaryota; Metazoa; Chordata; Actinopteri; Siluriformes; Pangasiidae.